This is a non-coding RNA of Prunus avium (sweet cherry), 986 nucleotides long. The record is from RefSeq and is a predicted model, not a curated record. Lineage: Eukaryota; Viridiplantae; Streptophyta; Magnoliopsida; Rosales; Rosaceae.
ACCAGCUCCCAUUGGAGCUGUUACUGUUCAUCCGAACAGUUUUUGCUUCGCCACCACCUCCACCGACCACCAAAUCGCAUGAUAUUAGUACCAAAACGUCAAGCUCACUUCCCUCUUCCUAUCCCGACUAAUCUCUGCCGCUGGAACCACCGGAGAUGGCCGGAAAAUGCAAAAAUCCGAUCGGUUUCGACCCAGUUUUUGACAGAGUUUUCGCCGGCGAUUUCUCCCUCCUCCGGCCACCAAACCGGUCGAUUAAGGCCCGUCGGAGUUUGUCCAGGCCCCUCGGAGAUUUAUUGAGUUAUUUUGCCCAGGCCCGUCGCAGUUUGUCUAGGCCCCUCGGAGAUUUAUUGAGUUAUUUUGCCCAGGCCCGUCGGAGUUUGUCCAGGCCCUUCGGAGAUUUAUUGAGUUAUUUUGCCCAGACCCGUCGGAGUUUGCCCAGGCCCUUUGGAGAUUUGUUUUGCCCAGGCCCGUCGGAGUUUGUCCAGGCCCUUCGGAUGUCUUUUUAAUACGAUGCCUUGGGAAAAAUUGGAUUAAGGAAGGGAAUAUUACUUUAUAAUAUUUAUAUAAGGAUUACGAACUCCACCAUCAUACGUACCUCCCCCUUGAUGAUGAUACUUGGAAACAGUGGAUAUGGACACUGGGAUAUAUGGGUAUGGUUGUGGGGUUGAACUGAUAUUAAAGAAAGAGAUUGAGAAUGUGUUCAUUGUGUUUUGUCGGAAUUUGAGUUGUGAUGAAUCUGAAAUGUAUAGUUGGUUCUGUUGUAAAUAAUUGUUUAUUAUCGGAAUUGUGACUGUUGACAUGAGAACUACGUGUGGCUUGAUCCCUUGCCCAAGGGUACGUAGGCAGCCUGGGGUCUCACCAGGUGCAGCCGCGGAAUAUUAUUGUGUUUAAAAGGUUUGAUCGAUUCUGUGUAUGUGAUUGGACUUCUGAUGUGGUUUUCGAUGUGAUUGUUGGAUUUGAAUCCGGUAUAAUGAUUUUCUGUGGUA